RNAcentral lists this ribosomal RNA (253 nucleotides) under uncultured bacterium. RNAcentral's name for it is "partial 16S ribosomal RNA". It matches the Rfam family "Bacterial small subunit ribosomal RNA", at positions 524 to 776 of the family's 1533-position model. The record is from RNAcentral.
UACGUAGGGUGCGAGCGUUAAUCGGAAUUACUGGGCGUAAAGCGGGCGCAGGCGGUUCGUUAAGUCAGCUGUGAAAGCCCCGGGCUCAACCUGGGAAUGGCGGUUGAAACUGGCGAACUUGAAUCUGGCAGAGGGGGGUGGAAUUCCACGUGUAGCAGUGAAAUGCGUAGAGAUGUGGAGGAACACCGAUGGCGAAGGCAGCCCCCUGGGCUGAGAUUGACGCUCAGGCACGAAAGCGUGGGGAGCAAACAGG